AUACGUAGGUGACAAGCGUUAUCCGGAUUUACUGGGUGUAAAGGGCGUGUAGGCGGUUUAGCAAGUCAGAAGUGAAAUUCCCGGGCUUAACUUGGGCGCUGCUUCUGAAACUGCUUUACUUGAGUGCUGGAGAGGAUAGUGGAAUUCCUAGUGUAGCGGUAAAAUGCGCAGAUAUUAGGAGGAACACCGGUGGCGAAGGCGGCUAUCUGGACAGUAACUGACGCUGAGGCGCGAAAGCACGGGGAGCAAACAGGAUUAGAUACCCUGGUAGUCCGUGCCGUAAACGAUGAAUACUAGGUGUAGGGGGUAUCGACUCCCUCUGUGCCGCAGUUAACACAUUAAGUAUUCCACCUGGGGAGUACGCCGGCAACGGUGAAACUCAAAGGAAUUGACGGGG
This 397-nucleotide ribosomal RNA is filed under the name uncultured bacterium. Its description in RNAcentral is "partial 16S ribosomal RNA". It matches the Rfam family "Bacterial small subunit ribosomal RNA", at positions 523 to 918 of the family's 1533-position model. The record is from RNAcentral.